Molecule: transfer RNA, 76 nt
Filed under: Candidatus Eiseniibacteriota bacterium
Lineage: Bacteria; Candidatus Eiseniibacteriota
Description: tRNA-Val
Rfam family: tRNA
About the family: Transfer RNA (tRNA) molecules are approximately 80 nucleotides in length. Their secondary structure includes four short double-helical elements and three loops (D, anti-codon, and T loops).
Source: RNAcentral
GGGCGAAUAGCUCAGCUGGUAGAGCACUUGCCUUACAAGCAAGGGGUCACAGGUUCGAACCCUGUUUCGCCCACCA